RNAcentral lists this ribosomal RNA (300 nucleotides) under uncultured Aeropyrum sp. RNAcentral describes it as "partial 16S ribosomal RNA". The stretch from base 65 to 300 matches the Rfam family "Bacterial small subunit ribosomal RNA", at positions 560 to 795 of the family's 1533-position model. The record is from RNAcentral. Lineage: Archaea; Thermoproteati; Thermoproteota; Thermoprotei; Acidilobales; Acidilobaceae.
GGGGGGUGUGGGCGGGGAGGCGGGGGGAAACGUAGGGGGGGAGGGGUUGCCGGGGUGAGGGGGGGUAAGUGGCGGGCAGGUGGGUGGGUAAGUGGGGUGUGAGAGUUCUGGGCUUAACGGGGCGGUGACGUGCAAGACUGGUGGGGGUGAGGUCGAGAGAGGGGGGCAGAAGUCCCGGUGGAGGGGUGGAAUGCGGAGAUAUCGGGAGGAAUACCAGUGGCGAAAGCGGCGCCCUGGCUCGCACCUGACACUGAGGCGCGAAAGCGUGGGGAGCGAACGGGAUUAGAUACCCUGGUAGUC